UUUCGAGGUAGGAGUCGAGUACUGUAAGGUAUGGUGCUGGGUGCAGAUGCAGUGUGGCUCUGGAUAGCACCUUAUGGACAGUUGUGUCCCCAAGGAAGGAUGAGAAUAGCUACUGAAGUCCUAAACAGCAAGCCUAACUCAAGCCAUUGGCACACAGGCAUUAGACAGAAAGCUGGAAGUUGAAAUGGUGGAGUCCAACUUGCCUGGACCAGCUUAAUGGUUCUGCUCCUGGUAACGUUUUUAUCCAUGGAUGACUUGCUUGGGUAAGGACAUGAAGACAGUUCCUGUCAUACCUUUUAAAGGUAUGGAGAGUCGGCUUGACUACACUGUGUGGAGCAACUUUUAAAGAAGCAAAGGACUCAGAAUUCAUGAUUGAAGAAAUGCAGGUUAGUUUAAACUUUUAAGGAAAUUUUUAAGGUGGCAAAAGGUUUUGGUGGCAUAUACACCUUAAUCUGUAGAUGGGAGUGAUUAGCUGUUUAAAAGUUAAAAUGUGACUGAGAAGGAAAUUGAGUAGGGCAAAUUUUAAAUGGGUAUUAUUUUUCAUCUUCAAACAGGCAGACCUGUUAUCCUAAACUAGGUGAGUCAGCUUUUGGUACAUGUGAUGAUUUUCAGUGUAACCAAUGAUGUAGUGAUUCUGCCAAAUGAAAUAUAAUGAUAUCACUGUAAAACCGUUCCAUUUUGAUUCUGAGGUUACUCUACUAACAAGCAUCACACAUUUGUAUUUUGCCAUGAUUAAUAUGUUGGCUUCGUUUUCAGGGUUUUUAACGACCACAACAAGCAAGCAUGCAGCUUACUGCUUGAAAGGGUCUUGCCUCACCCAAGCUGGAGUGCAGUGGCCUUUGAAGCUUACUACAGCCUCAAACUUCUGGGCUCAAGUGAUCCUCAGCCUCCCAGUGGUCUUUGUAGACUGCCUGAUGGAGUCUCAUGGCACAAGAAGAUUAAAACAAUGUCUCCAAUUUUAAUAAAUUUUUGCAAUCCA
RNAcentral lists this small RNA (979 nucleotides) under Pan troglodytes (chimpanzee). Its description in RNAcentral is "retained intron". The stretch from base 616 to 692 matches the Rfam family "Small nucleolar RNA SNORD47". Lineage: Eukaryota; Metazoa; Chordata; Mammalia; Primates; Hominidae. The record is from RNAcentral.